RNAcentral lists this ribosomal RNA (1126 nucleotides) under soil metagenome. RNAcentral describes it as "bacterial SSU rRNA". It matches the Rfam family "Bacterial small subunit ribosomal RNA", at positions 8 to 1125 of the family's 1533-position model. The record is from RNAcentral.
AGAGUUUGAUCAUGGCUCAGAUUGAACGCUGGCGGCAGGCCUAACACAUGCAAGUCGAGCGGUAGCACAGAGAGCUUGCUCUCGGGUGACGAGCGGCGGACGGGUGAGUAAUGUCUGGGAAACUGCCUGAUGGAGGGGGAUAACUACUGGAAACGGUAGCUAAUACCGCAUAACGUCGCAAGACCAAAGUGGGGGACCUUCGGGCCUCAUGCCAUCAGAUGUGCCCAGAUGGGAUUAGCUGGUAGGUGGGGUAACGGCUCACCUAGGCGACGAUCCCUAGCUGGUCUGAGAGGAUGACCAGCCACACUGGAACUGAGACACGGUCCAGACUCCUACGGGAGGCAGCAGUGGGGAAUAUUGCACAAUGGGCGCAAGCCUGAUGCAGCCAUGCCGCGUGUGUGAAGAAGGCCUUCGGGUUGUAAAGCACUUUCAGCGGGGAGGAAGGCGGUGAGGUUAAUAACCUCACCGAUUGACGUUACCCGCAGAAGAAGCACCGGCUAACUCCGUGCCAGCAGCCGCGGUAAUACGGAGGGUGCAAGCGUUAAUCGGAAUUACUGGGCGUAAAGCGCACGCAGGCGGUCUGUCAAGUCGGAUGUGAAAUCCCCGGGCUCAACCUGGGAACUGCAUUCGAAACUGGCAGGCUAGAGUCUUGUAGAGGGGGGUAGAAUUCCAGGUGUAGCGGUGAAAUGCGUAGAGAUCUGGAGGAAUACCGGUGGCGAAGGCGGCCCCCUGGACAAAGACUGACGCUCAGGUGCGAAAGCGUGGGGAGCAAACAGGAUUAGAUACCCUGGUAGUCCACGCUGUAAACGAUGUCGAUUUGGAGGUUGUGCCCUUGAGGCGUGGCUUCCGGAGCUAACGCGUUAAAUCGACCGCCUGGGGAGUACGGCCGCAAGGUUAAAACUCAAAUGAAUUGACGGGGGCCCGCACAAGCGGUGGAGCAUGUGGUUUAAUUCGAUGCAACGCGAAGAACCUUACCUGGUCUUGACAUCCACAGAACUUAGCAGAGAUGCUUUGGUGCCUUCGGGAACUGUGAGACAGGUGCUGCAUGGCUGUCGUCAGCUCGUGUUGUGAAAUGUUGGGUUAAGUCCCGCAACGAGCGCAACCCUUAUCCUUUGUUGCCAGCGGU